CUGUAUGUGCAGGAAUACAUAAUAAUAUUACAAUUAAUUUAUAUAGCACCUUUCCCAUGCUCAGAACGCUUCACAGAAAUUCAUAGUGACCAACAGGGAAUAUACAAGUAAUGCAAAUAAUAUCUACUUAUAAAACUAAAUAUACUGUAGACAAAUACAGGAAAUUCAAAGUUUUAAUUAGAAUCACAAUACAUACACUACAAGAAAACCCAGAACAAAUUACAUAAGUUCUGAUACAAACCCAAAUCAUCCUGAGCACCUGGACAGAAAAGGCAAAUUGAAAGAAGGGCCAGAAUGGGACACUUGCAGCAGAGAUCUGAAGCAACUGGAACUGUGAUUAUGGGAACAGAAGGGGCACCACUCAGUAGGGAGUUACAGUAGUUGAUGUGGGAUUUAAUAAAACCAUAGACAAGUUUCUCGGCAUUGGAAAAAGAGAGGAAUAAAUAAAAAUGGGAUAUGUUACAGAGACAGAAGCAAGAAAACCUCCAAAUGUGGUUUAUGCAUGUAGAAUAAGAAAGCAAGAAAUCAAAAAUGACAGCAAGAUUCAUUGCAGAAUAAGAAGGUCUGAUGAAACUGUCACCAAGAGUAACUGGAAAACAGCUCAUUUUGUUAAGUUGAGCUUUAGUGGCAUUUAGCAUGACUUCAAAUUUUUAAAAGUUCUAUAUUUCAUCCAAGUUUCAAUUUUACUGAAGGAAGUUUUGAAUUGAAAAAGCUCUGAUUAAUGUUCACUUUUAACAUUGAAAUAGAUCAGAAUAUCAUCCACAUCAAAAUUAUAUUCAUAGUGUUGGACUCUGUUAAUAUGACCAAAGGGGAAGUAUGUACUGUAGCUACAGAAGAGCAGAGGGUCAAGGACAGAGCCUCGUGGAACUCCUUGUGUGACCAGCUCUGAGCUGGACCUGCUGUUGUGAGACUGACAAGCUCUUACCUAUUCAUCAUAUUGGACUUUAACCACUGGAGGGCAAUGGGAGAGAAACCCAGAAUGUUCUUCAGGUUUUAGGAACUCAUGUUUGACAAUAUUGAUUGCUGCACUAAUGUCUAACAGAAUGAAUAUAUUGGUUUACCCAAAGUCUGCUGCCAUAAGAAAAUCAUUAAUUCCUUGAAGCAGAGCAGAACAUCUAUGACGAGAUCUGAGACUAGACUGAAAGGGUUCCAACAGCUUAGUACAAUUUAAGUAACUAGUGAGUUGGAGGGCCACAACUCGCUGAUGAACUUUACAGUAAAGGAAAAGGAGUUUACUUCCACGGUCUGCGUCUGUCAUCCAGAAAUGAAAGGAAGACGCAGCUAUGAUGCCUGACAGAAAAAAACUCCAGAUAUGAAAGGGGAGAGUACCAUCUGAGCGUCAGCCACACAUCUUCAUAUUCUUUGCACACUGUUAUCAUAGCCUUGUUCAAUUCCAUUCAUUUUUCUAUAGCACUCUGCACUGAAUUCAGGAUCAUAAAUCCAUAUUUAGAACAGCUACAUCUUCUUCUUCUUCUUUCGGCUGCUCCUGUUAGGGGUCGCCACAGCGGAUCAUCUUCUUCCAUAUCUUUCUAUCCUCUGCAUAUUGUUUUGUUACACUCAUCACAUACAUGCCAUCUCUCACCACAGCCAUAAAUCUUCACUUAGGCCUUCCUCUUUUUCUCUUGCCUGACAGCUCUGUCCUUAGCAUCCUUCUCCCAAUAUACUCAGCAU
Polypterus senegalus (gray bichir) is the source of this 1671-nucleotide long non-coding RNA. RefSeq lists it as uncharacterized. The transcript has 3 exons. Lineage: Eukaryota; Metazoa; Chordata; Cladistia; Polypteriformes; Polypteridae. The record is from RefSeq and is a predicted model, not a curated record.